This 484-nucleotide ribosomal RNA is filed under the name uncultured bacterium. RNAcentral describes it as "bacterial SSU rRNA". It matches the Rfam family "Bacterial small subunit ribosomal RNA", at positions 28 to 478 of the family's 1533-position model. The record is from RNAcentral.
GACGAACGCUGGCGGCGUGCUUAACACAUGCAAGUCGAACGAAAAGAGGGAAAGAGCUUGCUCUUUCCGGAAUUGAGUGGCAAACGGGUGAGUAACACGUAAACAACCUGCCUUCAGGAUGGGGACAACAGACGGAAACGACUGCUAAUACCGAAUAAGUUCCAAGAGCCGCAUGGCCCAUGGAAGAAAAGGUGGCCUCUACCUGUAAGCUAUCGCCUGAAGAGGGGUUUGCGUCUGAUUAGCUGGUUGGAGGGGUAACGGCCCACCAAGGCGACGAUCAGUAGCCGGUCUGAGAGGAUGAACGGCCACACUGGAACUGAGACACGGUCCAGACUCCUACGGGAGGCAGCAGUGGGGAAUCUUCCGCAAUGGGCGAAAGCCUGACGGAGCAACGCCGCGUGAGUGAUGACGGCCUUCGGGUUGUAAAACUCUGUGAUCCGGGACGAAAAGGCAGAGUGCGAAGAACAAACUGCAUUGACGGUAC